AUGAAAAGUGACGGAAAAGCACGACCAGAUGACUAUGAAUUUGGCAAAAUACAGAUAGCAGUAGAACAUCGCAAACAACAGCAACACCAGAACACGACCAAACUGCUACCACCUCCACCCAAACGCCGGCGCGAACCACGUGUCAGCACCAGUCGAAGCAGGGAACCAAACAAAAGCAUCAGCACAGGAGCAGAAGAAAGAUUCCAAAGGAUAAACAAAUUGUUGGAAAAAGUACUCCAUGAAGCAGAACAGAUACCCGCAGUAACCACCAGGGCUGAACACCAAUGCAACGAAAAGGAAAAGAUAUUGGAUGAAAAAAACAAGAACCUAGUCGUGCAACAAACAAUUGCCCUGAUGGAUUCAUUAGAACAACUCAGACAAUUUCAGGACAUAGUUUGCACAAGGUACCUGACAGACAACGCGACCCUGCAGACACUAGAGCAAGCAGAUCCAGCAGCCUCAAGUAGACUAGCCGAUGCCAACCGCACAAAUGAAAUCGUAGCCACAACAGAACCAAGAGAAAGGAGAAAAAAAGAACAAGAAGACACAGAGAGGAAGAGAAGAACAAAAUCAAUACCCAGUCAAAAAAAACAGCAGGAUGGUGUCAACAACCCCAAAAACACAAAUGAACGGAACAAACAAAGCAACCUCACAACAGACAAUCCUACAACAACAACUACCCCAACACAAGCACAAGAUACGGUCAACGUCAGAACCUGUGAAGAGACUCAGCUGAAGAACAAUCAAGUCAGCAGCCCCGCCAACCAAAUGCAAGACGCUAACCCACAAUCAACCGUUAGCAUAAUAAACGACAAAGAAGAAGAAAACAACGAGGGGGAGGUAUCACAAGCACUGCAAGACCAAGAGACAACCCAUGUUGAAAUUGAACCCCAUAGUGAACCUCAAACAGACGAAGGCGUCAUAGAACAGGAACUUUGUGUACAAGAGAUUUCCAGUGCCACAACAUUGCAGAUCACCAUCACUAGUACAAAGGAGAAAGCGCAAGACAUCCCAGCCGAUGAGAAACAAGAGACUGUUAUACCUGACAAAGAAACAGUAGAUGCAGGCACAAAUAACCCAAUCAUCAACACGGAGGAAACAAACGAGUACGCUGAUCUCGAAGAUCAAGAACUUCAAACAACAACAUCUGAAGAGGUGAGGUUACAAAGCUCAGACACAAAUGAAGUUCAAUCUAUAAUUUCAAUUUUUAUUAAACAGGAAGAGGAAGCAUGCAAAAGCACUGGCAUAGACAUUCAACAAGAAAAACUAGAGGACAACAUGAGACAAGGAGAAGUCGUAGUACAAGCAGUAGACAGUCCUGCAACUCUAGAGAUAGAGGCACAUGAAGCUCAAGAAACCAUCAACAAUCAAGACCAUCAAACACAACCAGAGGAGCCCAACGAACAACCCGAACAUGUUCUUCAAACGAUAGACAAUAAUGCCACUGAAGACCAAGCCACAAAAAAUUCACUCACCAAACAACAGGUACCAGAGACAGGGGCAGCGUCAACGACUGAAAAGAGAGAGGAGACCAAUGAGCAGAAGGAGGACACUGAAGAAGGGCAACAUGUUCUUCAAAAGGCAGUCAUCAACGUAACAGAAGACCAAGCCCCAAAAUAUUCACUCACCGAAAAACAGGCAGCAGAGAGGGCAGCAGCAACAACGACUGAAAAGCUACAAGACAAAAAUGACGGCAGCGGCGAUGAACUACAAAAGAAAGAAGAAGAAGAUGCCCAAAAACCUCCACUCUACGAAGAACAAGCACAGCAUUCAGCAGCAACGAUUGAGGAGAAACACGAAGAAGGCGACCAUGGAGAUACAAAGGUCAGUGCCAACCAGGUCGAGACUGAAAAACAAGACGGAAAAGACCACCAGCAAGACACGACGGUUGACAAGGAAAAACAUGAUCCUAAGAAAGACACAAACGACUCAAAUGAGGAUGCAGCAAAAACUGAACAAAAGGACACAAUGGAGAAAGGGGACAAAGAUAGUGAUCCGGUCAACAAAGCCAUCGAAGACCUGUACAAUGUUGUAUGCAAGCCAUGGACACAGAGAAAAAUGGAUGAGCUUUUCAUUACAACGAACAAGUUUGAUGUCAAUCUAGGCCAUGUCGCCGAAAGCUUCAAGGUCGGUAAAUCAGUACGCACCGAAGCAAUCGAGCCCAUGCUAACAAUCUUGAGAAAACAACUAAAUGGCACAGGGAGAAAGAUUCUGUCGUUAAGCAACACUUCCCUUCUACCAUGUUGGUUGUGCGGGUUUGAGCAAGACGAAAAUACAAGUCAUUACUUCACCAUUACAGUUAACAUGCAAAAAUAG
RNAcentral lists this ribosomal RNA (2316 nucleotides) under Triticum aestivum (bread wheat). RNAcentral describes it as "partial small subunit ribosomal RNA". Lineage: Eukaryota; Viridiplantae; Streptophyta; Magnoliopsida; Poales; Poaceae. The record is from RNAcentral.